Molecule: ribosomal RNA, 468 nt
Filed under: uncultured bacterium
Lineage: Bacteria
Description: partial 16S ribosomal RNA
Rfam family: Bacterial small subunit ribosomal RNA
Source: RNAcentral
GACGAACGCUGGCGGCGUGCUUAAUACAUGCAAGUCGAACGGAAAGGCCCUGCUUUUGUGGGGUGCUCGAGUGGCGAACGGGUGAGUAACACGUGAGUAACCUGCCCUUGACUUUGGGAUAACUUCAGGAAACUGGGGCUAAUACCGGAUAGGAGCUCCUGCUGCAUGGUGGGGGUUGGAAAGUUUCGGCGGUUGGGGAUGGACUCGCGGCUUAUCAGCUUGUUGGUGGGGUAGUGGCUUACCAAGGCUUUGACGGGUAGCCGGCCUGAGAGGGUGACCGGCCACAUUGGGACUGAGAUACGGCCCAGACGCCUACGGGAGGCAGCAGUGGGGAAUAUUGCCCAAUGGGCGGAAGCCUGAUGCAGCAACGCCGCGUGCGGGAUGACGGCCUUCGGGUUGUAAACCGCUUUCGCCUGUGACGAAGCGUGAGUGACGGUAAUGGGUAAAGAAGCACCGGCUAACUACGUG